Non-coding RNA from Gymnothorax javanicus (giant moray), 74 nucleotides. The record is from the annotation of a GenBank genome assembly. Lineage: Eukaryota; Metazoa; Chordata; Actinopteri; Anguilliformes; Muraenidae.
GGUGGCAUGGCUCGGGAGGUAGAGCGGGCGGGCUAGGAAUCACAAGGUCCCUGGUUCGAUCCCCGGUUCUCUCC